GCCUGAGUAGCUCAGUUGGAUAGAGCAACGCUUUUGUAAAGCGUAGGUCGUCGGUUCGAGUCCGACCUUGGGCU
This 74-nucleotide transfer RNA is filed under the name Synechococcus phage S-PM2. It matches the Rfam family "tRNA". Rfam says of the family: Transfer RNA (tRNA) molecules are approximately 80 nucleotides in length. Their secondary structure includes four short double-helical elements and three loops (D, anti-codon, and T loops). The record is from Rfam by way of RNAcentral. Lineage: Duplodnaviria; Heunggongvirae; Uroviricota; Caudoviricetes; Pantevenvirales; Kyanoviridae.